GUGCAAUGGCGCGUGCUAUACAUGCAAGUCGAGCGGACAGAAGGGAGCUUGCUCCCGGAUGUUAGCGGCGGACGGGUGAGUAACACGUGGGUAACCUGCCUGUAAGACUGGGAUAACUCCGGGAAACCGGAGCUAAUACCGGAUAGUUCCUUGAACCGCAUGGUUCAAGGAUGAAAGACGGUUUCGGCUGUCACUUACAGAUGGACCCGCGGCGCAUUAGCUAGUUGGUGAGGUAACGGCUCACCAAGGCGACGAUGCGUAGCCGACCUGAGAGGGUGAUCGGCCACACUGGGACUGAGACACGGCCCAGACUCCUACGGGAGGCAGCAGUAGGGAAUCUUCCGCAAUGGACGAAAGUCUGACGGAGCAACGCCGCGUGAGUGAUGAAGGUUUUCGGAUCGUAAAGCUCUGUUGUUAGGGAAGAACAAGUGCAAGAGUAACUGCUUGCACCUUGACGGUACCUAACCAGAAAGCCACGGCUAACUACGUGCCAGCAGCCGCGGUAAUACGUAGGUGGCAAGCGUUGUCCGGAAUUAUUGGGCGUAAAGGGCUCGCAGGCGGUUUCUUAAGUCUGAUGUGAAAGCCCCCGGCUCAACCGGGGAGGGUCAUUGGAAACUGGGAAACUUGAGUGCAGAAGAGGAGAGUGGAAUUCCACGUGUAGCGGUGAAAUGCGUAGAGAUGUGGAGGAACACCAGUGGCGAAGGCGACUCUCUGGUCUGUAACUGACGCUGAGGAGCGAAAGCGUGGGGAGCGAACAGGAUUAGAUACCCUGGUAGUCCACGCCGUAAACGAUGAGUGCUAAGUGUUAGGGGGUUUCCGCCCCUUAGUGCUGCAGCUAACGCAUUAAGCACUCCGCCUGGGGAGUACGUCGCAGACUGAAACUCAAAGAAUUGACGGGGCCCGCACAAGCGUGGAGCAUGUGGUUUAAUUCGAGCACGCGAGACUUACCAGUCUGACAUCUCUGACACCCUAGAGAUAGGGCUUUCCCUUCGGGACAGAAUGACAGGUGGUGCAUGGUGUCGUCAGCUCCGUGU
RNAcentral lists this ribosomal RNA (1034 nucleotides) under Bacillus altitudinis. Its description in RNAcentral is "bacterial SSU rRNA". It matches the Rfam family "Bacterial small subunit ribosomal RNA", at positions 33 to 1065 of the family's 1533-position model. Lineage: Bacteria; Bacillati; Bacillota; Bacilli; Caryophanales; Bacillaceae. The record is from RNAcentral.